GCCUUCAUAGUUCAAUGGAUAGAACGCAGGUUUCCGGAACCUGAAAUUUAGGUUCGAUUCCUAAUGAGGGCG
This 72-nucleotide transfer RNA is filed under the name Candidatus Moraniibacteriota bacterium. RNAcentral describes it as "tRNA-Arg". It matches the Rfam family "tRNA". Rfam says of the family: Transfer RNA (tRNA) molecules are approximately 80 nucleotides in length. Their secondary structure includes four short double-helical elements and three loops (D, anti-codon, and T loops). Further hydrogen bonds mediate the characteristic L-shaped molecular structure. tRNAs have two regions of fundamental functional importance: the anti-codon, which is responsible for specific mRNA codon recognition, and the 3' end, to which the tRNAs corresponding amino acid is attached (by aminoacyl-tRNA synthetases). tRNAs cope with the degeneracy of the genetic code in two manners: having more than one tRNA (with a specific anti-codon) for a particular amino acid; and 'wobble' base-pairing, i.e. permitting non-standard base-pairing at the 3rd anti-codon position. Lineage: Bacteria; Candidatus Moraniibacteriota. The record is from RNAcentral. RNAcentral also lists the same sequence under 1 other name.